Non-coding RNA from Triticum aestivum (bread wheat), 135 nucleotides. Lineage: Eukaryota; Viridiplantae; Streptophyta; Magnoliopsida; Poales; Poaceae. The record is from Rfam.
GUAGUAUUCCCUCCGUCCCAAAAUUCUUGUCUUACAUUUGUUUAGAUACGGAUGUAUCUAACACUAAAAUGUAACUAGAUACAUCCAUAUUUAGACAAAUUUCAGACAUGAAUUUUGGGACGGAGGGAGUACAAA